RNAcentral lists this transfer-messenger RNA (161 nucleotides) under Sphingobacteriaceae bacterium. Its description in RNAcentral is "partial transfer-messenger RNA". It matches the Rfam family "transfer-messenger RNA", at positions 210 to 374 of the family's 374-position model. From Rfam's summary of the family: Bacterial tmRNA, also known as 10Sa RNA or SsrA, is named for its dual tRNA and mRNA-like properties. The record is from RNAcentral. Lineage: Bacteria; Pseudomonadati; Bacteroidota; Sphingobacteriia; Sphingobacteriales; Sphingobacteriaceae.
GCUAUAUGGUGUUAUAAGCAGGCGAGAUAAAACACCUAAGGAAGACGGUACAGGUAAGCAACUGACCUUCCCCUUCCCUACAAUUUAACAGAAGCUAAGCAUGUAGAAAGCUUACCUUAUACCAUGUUUGGACGAGGGUUCGAAUCCCUCCGGCUCCACCA